RNAcentral lists this ribosomal RNA (477 nucleotides) under uncultured bacterium. Its description in RNAcentral is "SSU rRNA". It matches the Rfam family "Bacterial small subunit ribosomal RNA", at positions 26 to 521 of the family's 1533-position model. The record is from RNAcentral.
AGGACGAACGCUGGCGGCGUGCUUAACACAUGCAAGUCGAACGGAAAGGCCCGCUUGCGGGUACUCGAGUGGCGAACGGGUGAGUAACACGUGGGCAACCUGCCCUCAGCUUCGGGAUAACACUUGGAAACAGGUGCUAAUACCGGAUAACAACUUGUCAUCGCAUGGUGGUGGGUUCAAAGUUUUUCGGCUGAGGAUGGGCCCGCGGCCUAUCAGCUUGUUGGUGGGGUAAUGGCCUACCAAGGCGACGACGGGUAGCCGGCCUGAGAGGGCGACCGGCCACACUGGGACUGAGACACGGCCCAGACUCCUACGGGAGGCAGCAGUGGGGAAUAUUGCGCAAUGGGCGGAAGCCUGACGCAGCGACGCCGCGUGAGGGAUGACGGCCUUCGGUUGUAAACUCUUCAGCUCUGACGAAGCGCAAGUGACGGUAGGAGCAGAAGAAGCACCGGCCAACUACGUGCCAGCAGCCGCGGU